This 495-nucleotide ribosomal RNA is filed under the name uncultured bacterium. Its description in RNAcentral is "partial 16S ribosomal RNA". It matches the Rfam family "Bacterial small subunit ribosomal RNA", at positions 28 to 507 of the family's 1533-position model. The record is from RNAcentral.
GAUGAACGCUGGCGGCGUGCCUAAUACAUGCAAGUAGAGCGCUGAAGGAGGAGCUUUCUCUUCACUGGGUGUUCCGCGCACGGGUGUGUAACGUAUGGGGACUCUCUGGUAGAGGGGGGGACAACUUUUGAACACUAGCUCUUACACCGCAUCAAAAGUUAAAACACAAUAAUUAAGUAUGAAAGACACAUUCGCAUCACCCAGAUAUACUUGCGUUGUAUUAGCUAGUUGGUGAGGUAACGGCUCACCAAGGCGAUGAUACAUAGCCGACCUGAGAGGGUGAUCGGCCACACUGGGACUGAGACACGGCCCAGACUCCUACGGGAGGCAGCAGUAGGGAAUCUUCGGCAAUGGACGGAAGUCUGACCGAGCAACGCCGCGUGAGUGAAGAAGGGUUUCGGAUCGUAAAGCUCUGUUGGUAGAGAAGAACGAUGGUGAGAGUGGAAAGCUCACCAUGUGACGGUAUCUAACCAGAAAGGGACGGCUAACUACGUG